This 110-nucleotide non-coding RNA is filed under the name Mycolicibacterium insubricum. Its description in RNAcentral is "Mycobacterium insubricum TPP sequence". It matches the Rfam family "TPP riboswitch aptamer (THI element)". From Rfam's summary of the family: Vitamin B(1) in its active form thiamin pyrophosphate (TPP) is an essential coenzyme that is synthesised by coupling of pyrimidine and thiazole moieties in bacteria. The previously detected thiamin-regulatory element, thi box was extended, resulting in a new, highly conserved RNA secondary structure, the THI element, which is widely distributed in eubacteria and also occurs in some archaea. Analysis of operon structures identified a large number of new candidate thiamin-regulated genes, mostly transporters, in various prokaryotic organisms. The record is from Rfam by way of RNAcentral. Lineage: Bacteria; Bacillati; Actinomycetota; Actinomycetes; Mycobacteriales; Mycobacteriaceae.
CCAGGUACCCACGGGAGCGCCAACCGAAGGCGCUGAGAGGACGGCUGCGGCCGUCGACCGUACGAACCUGACCGGGUCAUGCCGGCGUAGGAAGAGGAUGUGAGAUGAGU